CUCAUCAUUCUCAGUAAUAGGUGUUAUAUAACAAUUACUUUGGUUGUUGAGAUACUGAAUAUAAAUAGGGUUUGAUUGCAAAACUUCCGCGAACGAAGUCGCGAGUAACAGCUAGUUUUCUCCUAGACCUCGGGCUAUUAACAAUAUAAGGGUGCGAUUAUGCAGAUGUGAGCGAACGAAUUUUCCCAGCCAGCGAAAAUAUGUGGCGAUAAGAGGAAACGACUCUCAGUUUCUCUCUCGCUUGUGUGGUCGUAAGGAACGAAAGCGAGAAACAAACAGCGUGAAACGUCAUCACCUCUUCUCGCCACAUAUUCUCGCUGGCUAGCGUCUGCAUAGUGCUGAAUGGUCAAGACGUUCAAGUAAUCACUCUACUGCUCUGAAGGACCCAAAAUCCAAUUCGGACUGUCGGAAAAUUCAUAAAACUAUUGACUGAAAUAUGGUGAAAGAAUUUAAAGAAUUUUCUUCAUACUUCUGUCGUUAACGACUGAAUCAAGUUCUCAAAUUAAAAGUACAAAAAAAUUUUAAGCGUAACAAAUGAACUGAACAAUUGACCGUUGUUGGUUUGCUCUUAUUGUUGUAAAGAGUGCGAUUUUCGAGUCUUGGAAAAUAAAUUUCGAUUUUGCUGGGUAUCGUCCUUUGGAUGAUCCCUUCAGGGAGAGUUUGGAUCUGCACGGAUUCGUCAAUCCAAACAAUAUGGAUCAUUUUAGAUUCCGUGCAAAGAAGAACAAAGGCCUCCUACAGCAGGUUAAAUCAAUAGAAAGUACUUCUAAGUGCUCUAAUAUAUUUGACAAUCACAUCGAUCUUGCUUGUAAAGAGGUCUUGGAUAAGGUUCGAUCUUUGUAUGAAAAAACCUGCGAUCGUUUGAAGAGUUCCGUUUAUUUUCACAUGAUAUAAAUUUAAGAAGAGAAUGGGUAACCAACAUUAUAUGCAGUGUAUACAUCCAGCUAGAUAAAUAACUUUGCCAUCACUAGACACACAAGUCAAUACAGAAUAAUUACUGGCAGAUAGGGUUUGUGAUGCCUCUAUAUUUGUCUUAAGGAUACAAAUGUUUUGACAAUUUAUUAAUUAAAAUUUAUUUACUUUACCACUUGAAAAAAAAUUAUAAGAGUCAAGACUCGUAUAGUUGAACAUUUCUUGAUAUUAAAGGUAAAGCGUGUGAUUAUGAUAUUCAAAUAUAGCAGGAUAUUUCAAAGGUGGCCAUUCUCUCGUGUCAUUAUUCCAUGAUUUUAUAGUACUAAUGUGUGAAAACGACUGUUUAUCUGAAAACAAAUGAAAAAAACA
Long non-coding RNA from Centruroides sculpturatus (bark scorpion), 1281 nucleotides. RefSeq lists it as uncharacterized. The transcript is spliced from 3 exons. The record is from RefSeq and is a predicted model, not a curated record. NCBI's taxonomy places the organism in Eukaryota, Metazoa, Arthropoda, Arachnida, Scorpiones, Buthidae.